CAUACACAUAUCGUUCUUUCAGAUACAUCCCGGCUCCUAUCUCAAUCGAAAUUCUAGUGUAAAUUGUGCCUCGCCAUCCUUCGCGUCCGUACAAAAAUAAGCAUCGCCGUGGAAGCAGUUUGAUCGAGAAAGCGCGAUUUUUCCCGCGAUCUCCGAAAACUAGGAUCACCUGUAAUUUGGAUGUUGUGUAAUUUCUAGUCGCGUACGCGUGGUACACAUUUGUAUCUGAAAUUGCGAAUCGAAACGAAAACGAAAAAAAAAAUAUCGAAGAGGUAUCGAACGGGAAAAGCUGGAUGAAAAUUGCCUAAGCAGCGGAGAAAGUUGGCGAAAUCGAGAAGUGAAUUUCCGCGGCGAUCGCGUGCUUUGGCGUUUUGUUUAAAAACAGUUGAAGAUUUUAAAUGAUCGCCCGAUGAAAAGCAAUUUUCGCGGAACGCGAGCUAUCGCCAAGUGAUUGCUAGAUGAAUUUCCCAAUGUAAACAGAUUGAAUUGAAAUAGCAACGCGACUCCCAACGUUCGCGAGUUCUUCAUAGUUUCGGUUUCAGUUCAUCGAAUUGCUUGCGCGGUUUUCUGUUGAUGGAAUCGCUGUUGUUGACGGUCACCGCGUGGUAAACUCGAAAUUCAAUUUCAAUUUUAAUUUCGUAAUUUUCGUAUUUUCCCCCUCGGUGAGAAGCGCCAGUGUAGUGUUCUAUUCGAAGGAAAAUAACUUAAACGGAGAGAAACCGGUGGUAGUGCAUAUAACAGCGUAGCAUUCGUCGCAAUUGCUAAUCUCCUAAAUGAACAUUAAACGUGACACAUAUUACGAACAGGCAAGAAACCGUGCAAAGAUUCGAAACCAAUUUGAGUGGUUAUGACGAGAUUUUUGGCAAACAGAUUCAUCAACCACAAUUAUUCCACAAAAAUAAACACAGAGUGAAAAUAAACCCGCAAUUUCUAGUAUCAAGGC
Molecule: long non-coding RNA, 943 nt
Organism: Hermetia illucens (black soldier fly)
Lineage: Eukaryota; Metazoa; Arthropoda; Insecta; Diptera; Stratiomyidae
Exons: 3
Source: RefSeq, a predicted model, not a curated record